Molecule: ribosomal RNA, 253 nt
Filed under: uncultured bacterium
Lineage: Bacteria
Description: partial 16S ribosomal RNA
Rfam family: Bacterial small subunit ribosomal RNA
Source: RNAcentral
UACGUAGGGGGCGAGCGUUGUCCGGAAUCAUUGGGCGUAAAGCGCGUGUAGGCGGCCCGGUAAGUCCACUGUGAAAGUCCAGGGCUCAACCCUGGGAUGCCGGUGGAUACUGUCGGGCUCGAGUCCGGAAGAGGCGAGUGGAAUUCCUGGUGUAGCGGUGAAAUGCGCAGAUAUCAGGAGGAACACCAAUGGCGAAGGCAGCUCGCUGGGACGUGACUGACGCUGAGACGCGAAAGCGUGGGGAGCAAACAGG